GUGCUCGCUUCGGCAGCACAUACACUAAAAUUGUAACAAUACAGAGAUUAGCAUGGUCCCUGUGCAAGGAUGACAUGCAAAUUCGUGAAGCGUUCCAUAUGUUU
This 104-nucleotide small nuclear RNA is filed under the name Dasypus novemcinctus (nine-banded armadillo). Lineage: Eukaryota; Metazoa; Chordata; Mammalia; Cingulata; Dasypodidae. The record is from RNAcentral.